Molecule: ribosomal RNA, 253 nt
Filed under: uncultured bacterium
Lineage: Bacteria
Description: partial 16S ribosomal RNA
Rfam family: Bacterial small subunit ribosomal RNA
Source: RNAcentral
UACGUAGGUGACAAGCGUUGUCCGGAUUUACUGGGCGUAAAGAGCGCGCAGGCGGUCGUUUAAGUCGGAUGUGAAAGCCCCCGGCUUAACUGGGGAGGGUCAUUCGAUACUGAUCGACUUGAAGGCAGGAGAGGGAAGCAGAAUUCCCGGUGUAGUGGUGAAAUGCGUAGAUAUCGGGAGGAAUACCAGUGGCGAAGGCGGCUUCCUGGCCUGUUCUUGACGCUGAGGCGCGAAAGCUGGGGGAGCAAACGGG